Non-coding RNA from Pelobates cultripes (western spadefoot toad), 201 nucleotides. NCBI's taxonomy places the organism in Eukaryota, Metazoa, Chordata, Amphibia, Anura, Pelobatidae. The record is from the annotation of a GenBank genome assembly.
UUUGGUUUGAAAAUUCUUUUUACUUGCAAAUCUGCGGCACUGCGAUUGGCACCAAAUUCGCCCCAAGUUACGCCAACCUUUUUAUGGCAUUUUGGGAAGAAACAUGUGUAUUUAUAGAGCAACAGUGAAAAACGAACUUGAUGUCCUAUUGCCGAUUUAUUGAUGACAUUUUCUUUAUAUGGAAUGGAACCAUGGAAGCCC